GACGAACGCUGGCGGCGUGCCUAAUACAUGCAAGUCGAACGCUAAAGUAGGAGCUUGCUUCUCUGGAUGAGUUGCGAACGGGUGAGUAACGCGUAGGUAACCUGCCUGGUAGUGGGGGAUAACUAUUUGCAACGAUAGCUAAUACCGCAUAAUAGCAGUUGUUGCAUGAUAACUGUGUGAAAGGUGCACUUGCACCUCUACCAGAUGGACCUGAGUUGUAUUAGCUAGUUGUUGGGUUAACGGCUCACCAAGGGGACGAUACAUAGUCGACCUGAGAGGGUGAUCGGCCACACUGGGACGGGGACACGGCCCAGAAUACUACGGGAGGCAGCAGUAGGGAAUCUUCGGCAAUGGACGGAAGUCUGAACGAGCAACGACGCGUGAGUGAAGAAGGUUUUCGGAUCGUAAAGCUCAGUUGUAAGAGAAGAACGAGUGUGAGAGUGGAAAGUGCACACUGUGACGGUACCUGACCAGAAAGCGACGGCUAACUACGUG
This 495-nucleotide ribosomal RNA is filed under the name uncultured bacterium. RNAcentral describes it as "partial 16S ribosomal RNA". It matches the Rfam family "Bacterial small subunit ribosomal RNA", at positions 28 to 507 of the family's 1533-position model. The record is from RNAcentral.